Molecule: ribosomal RNA, 497 nt
Filed under: uncultured bacterium
Lineage: Bacteria
Description: partial 16S ribosomal RNA
Rfam family: Bacterial small subunit ribosomal RNA
Source: RNAcentral
GACGAACGCUGGCGGCGUGCCUAAUACAUGCAAGUAGAACGCUGAAGAGAGGAGCUUGCUCUUCUUGGAUGAGUUGCGAACGGGUGAGUAACGCGUAGGUAACCUGCCUUUUAGCGGGGGAUAACUAUUGGAAACGAUAGCUAAUACCGCAUAACAAUGUAUGACCCAUGUCAUUUAUUUGAAAGGGGCAAAUGCUCCACUACAAGAUGGACCUGCGGUGUAUUAGCUAGUUGGUGAGGUAACGGCUCACCUAGGAGACGAUACAUAGCCGACCUUAGAGGGGGGACGGGCAAAAUGGGACGGAGAAACGGCCCAGGAUCCUAAGGGAAGCAGCAGGAGGGGAUCUUUGGACAUGGGGGGAAAGCUGAACGAGAAAAGCCGGGGGAGUGAAGAAGGUUUUCGGAUCGGAAAGAUCUGUUGUAAGGAAAGAAAGAGUGUGAGAGUGGAAUGUUCACACUGUGACGGUAGCUAACCAGAAAGGGACGGCUAACUACGUG